AUGCAAUUUUUCGUCCCAUGUAUUAGCAUGUGUGUGCUAUUGACGUUUGUUUGUUGAUUUUGAAAUCAUUCCAUAAGCUGCAAAUGAUAUGGAUGCCGAAAAUUUUAUUUCGCUACUGUGGAACAAGUGAAGUGAUGUAAAUUUCUGCUCAAAGCGAACCAAUGGUCACAUGCGCACGAGGUUUCAUGAAGUGUUUUGCCAUGGAUUGUGUUCAACGAAAAUUUCCCUCAUUUGAAAUCGAUACUGAACAAGUUUUAGGAUGUCAACCAAAUUUUCAACUGUUUCAUCAAGGGGCAGAUUUCAAGAAACUUCAUCCAGCUGAAUGUGAAGUUCAACCUGACCCGGAACGUGAUCGACGAAGAGGUGGUUAAGGCUCGGCUCGAGGAAUUCAAGACCAAACUGUCCGAUUAGUGCUUGGUGAUCGAGAUGUUUCCCUGCCCGACUCUGUCAGAACGCAAUCACCCAGCUAUCGGUCAUUCUUCGCCCAGGAUCCGCUGUGCGUUGAUGCAAAACGCGCUCAAGAAGCUGCUUCUGCCCCAGGAGUACGUCCUCGAGAAAUUACGGCUGAGUGCGUUUCUGGACGAGGAUCUGCAGAAGCAGCAAUUAGAUAGUGUUUGAAAGAAAAGUAUGAUGUAAUUUUAAUCACAAAGCAUUAUUACUGCAAUGCUGAAAUUAAAAAAAAACACUCUAGAAUGAAUGAAUAGGCACACAUUAUCUUGUAGGCAGAUUUCAAGAUGAUCACAGGAAGUGAACAGACAAUACACAUAAAUAAGUAGUGCCCCUAGCUUGUUAGAAAUUGUUAUUAUUAUUGCUUCAUAAAAUUUUACACUUUUAUCUAACCGUGUUUCUGGGACUGUUAAAAAAUAUGUGGCAACGGAGCGUGUGAAAUAAAUCAUGCUGUUUGUGUGUUUAGAAAUAAAAUAAAUUAGUGAGUGGAUGAGUACACAGCAACUGGACAAAAGUUAGUUUUUGUAAUACUGUUGAUGACAGCCAUGUUUUUUGUCCAGUAAGUUUUUCAUGUUAAUUUAUCAUUGCAAAUUUACGUUGCCGUCGUUGUGGGAACUUUUGUAGAACCAUAUGCGCCUAACAUAAACGUGUGCGCUCUGAGAAUUACCGAAAAGGUUUGCGAACGUAUUUUGAAAUGGGGCGGAAAGGUUUAUACCUCUGACCGCUCUGAUCGCACUUAUCGGUAAGUUGAACUUAUCGGUAAGAACACCGUCCUGAUGUGCGCGUAAUGUCUGCGAGGCCUGCACUCACUUUGGCCGUGCUCAUGGCGUGCCACACUUUAACAUUCGUCCGUAUGUACUCUCAAAGGAACGCAAAUUUGAGCAGGUUCGUCGUUGCAACCCCAAAAGGCAUAUCAUGAGAGGGUGAAUGCCCUAAGCUGCUCAAAAACAAUAGUGGAAAUUC
Toxorhynchites rutilus septentrionalis is the source of this 1410-nucleotide long non-coding RNA. RefSeq lists it as uncharacterized. The record is from RefSeq and is a predicted model, not a curated record. NCBI's taxonomy places the organism in Eukaryota, Metazoa, Arthropoda, Insecta, Diptera, Culicidae. The transcript is spliced from 3 exons.